Molecule: non-coding RNA, 343 nt
Organism: Nerophis lumbriciformis (worm pipefish)
Lineage: Eukaryota; Metazoa; Chordata; Actinopteri; Syngnathiformes; Syngnathidae
Source: RefSeq, a predicted model, not a curated record
GUCUCUCUCUCCCUCUGUGUCUGCUAGCCGCCUCCCCUGCCCGCCGUCUUCCUCACCCACCCCCUUUCUCCGUCUCCCUCGUCCCCGCACCUCCAUUCGGCCUCGGUUGCCUCGACGGAUUGCUGGGGCUGUGGGAAGAGGAAAGGAUAUCGCGAGUAUUGGAGUUUUGGUGAGAGUUUGUGGAAGAUGGCGCCUGUUGUGACAGGGAAGUUUGGGGAGCGCCCUCAGCCACAGCGCCUAACCAGAGAAGCCAUGAGGAACUACCUAAAGGAGCGAGGGGACCAAACUGUUAUGAUCCUGCAUGCAAAAGUUGCACAGAAAUCCUAUGGCAAUGAGAAAAGGU